RNAcentral lists this ribosomal RNA (96 nucleotides) under Methanobacteriota archaeon. RNAcentral's name for it is "Euryarchaeota archaeon partial 16S ribosomal RNA". It matches the Rfam family "Archaeal small subunit ribosomal RNA", at positions 1391 to 1478 of the family's 1478-position model. Lineage: Archaea; Methanobacteriati; Methanobacteriota. The record is from RNAcentral.
ACCAUGGGGUAUUCGAGCCUGCCUUCGACAAGGAGGGUUAAGUCGUAACAAGGUAUCUGUAGGGGAACCUGCAGAUGGAUCACCUCCUAAGAAAAC